AGGAGUGCUUUGUGACCUCCUUUCAAAGCUGUAGGAAACCAGCAGCAGGGCAAUGACCAUUGCCUCGUGCUUCUGUCAGUCUGCAUGGCUCCAUGGUGCUCAUGGAAUUUAUAACUUCCAAUGCAUAAACCAGCACUAAUCUCUCCCCUCUAAGCAGUAUUAGACUGAUUGACUAUUGAGGCUUAAAGGUUUUUCCAAGAGAAUCAGAAAGUACUAGGAGUACAGGAGUUUGUCUGGAGAUUUGACCCUGCUCUGCGUACCCUCCCAGAAAGGUUUCUAUCUUCUUUUGGCCAUUUUCUUCGUUAAUGACAUGCCUUCCAUGCAGAACUGUUCCUUCUCCACCUCCCAGCAGAUGAGGUGUGAGCUGCAGUGUACAAAGGAGGCACUGAGCCAGGCUUGGGAAGCCGACCUCCCUGUUCAUACUGUCUUCCUGAUGCAAUCCUUCCUCCCAGUGCUGCUGCAACCAGAGUAUGGCUGCCUGCUGCUCUGAGCUGUACUCAUUACAAAGGCCCAGCUGCCUGAGUUGAGCCCCGAGAAGAGAGAGCCCAGGUGAAGGUCUCUGUCAGCUCUCCUGCAGCCCUGUGGGAUUUUUGACAUGGCUGUGAUUUCUGAAGAACUAGCGCCCUGACUCACCUGCAGGACGUCUAGAAAUCCUGGGCAAAUAUCCAGACGCCUGAAAUUCUGCGUAGACACCAUUUUGCAGCAGAAGAGGAGGAACAAACUGUGGAAAACCCUGGGAAUCAGUGGCACCUACUGUGCGCUAGCUGCUCUGACUGUUUCACUUUGCUUCAGUUAAUCUAGAAGUGACUUUUCCUCUUCUGCUUUUCAUAGUCCUUUGGAAUAAAUAACAAAAAACCCCUCUUUCCACUGUCAUAUUGAAGCAUGUCUGAGAUUCAAGGCACCUCUCAGAAUGGCCUUUGCUGCAAGAGCAUCUGUUUGGAUGUUGAAGUUUUGGGACAUGGCACGAAAUUAGAAAUGGCAGCCACAAGACCUGUAGGGAGCAGAGCUGGUGUGCUGUGCUGCACAGGGUUAGCAGCAAGGACCCCAAGUGACCUCCCUGCUGUCAGCACACGUGGCUGAGGGAGGCAGCGAAGUUCACGUGAGAAGGUUCAGGGCAAAGUUGGGCCUGUGCUGAAGGCUUCUGAAAAUGCUGCUCUGCAGUUGUGGAUCUGGUGCCAUCACCUCCUGUGAACUCACUGAUGUCUCACCACUGUAAGAGACAGCAAGAUCUGGCAGCUCUGCUCACCUCCAGUGGUGUCUGGCAGCACCCCAGAAAGACAAAAGUGCAUCUCUUGAUACCACCAGAGCUACCCAUUUGCAAGGAAUGCCUCACCUUUGCUUUAUGAAGACCCUUUUUUCCAGGAAAAAAAAUAUGUUCACUUCUGAACUCAGUACUCUAUUCUCUCCAUUCCUGUGGGUUUUUAUCUACCCCGUGUGUAAGCACUUUGCAAAUAUUUGACUGGAAAUUAUGGGAGAUAAGACAGGUCUGCCCUUGCUGCAGCAGGCAAGCACCUAGCAAGCAGAAUAGGAACUGCAGGGAUACAUUUCAGCCUAUCAUAUCCUAGAAUGAGUAUGGUGUUUACUGAGAGACUGCCUCUUCUAUUUGUGCAUUGAUCCACUUCAAAUUGUAUUUGAAUAUCUGAAAUGCUGGCAUUAGUUUAUUACACUGCUCCUCUUUGUCCCACUUUCCAUGUUUCAGACACUGGGUUGUGCAGGAGAAAUGAUAAAGGUGAUGCUGCUGGUGUCAAAUGCCAGCAUGGGUUCAGCACUGUCUUAUUCCGGAAAACGACCUCUCCCAUACUGAGCCUUUCUGCUCUGGGAGGAGAGCAGGCUGGGGAGUCCCAAGUGCAGUCCUCUGCACUGUGCUGUUUGUUCCAGCUCCAUUUUGGAGCAUAUUAGCAGUUUCCAUCGUCCUCCUAAUUGCACUGCCAUAAAACAUCCUUCUUACUCAUGAAGCAGAAUACCUAGAUCCACCUUCUUGCCUCCUGGCUAAUUACUGUCAUUAUCUGGCUAGACAAACUUGUCAUGAGAUUAGAAUCUCCUCACAAAACAGGGUCAUCUCAGGAAGUUCUUGCUAUCCGGUUUUGUGUAAAUCAGUCACCUCUGCAGCUGAACAGCAGCUUGGAUUGUUGAGAAUUCACACGCUCCCAGGAGGGGAGCAGAGGAGCAUUUCCACACAGGAGAUGCUUCAAAAGAAGCUGGGUGUUCCUACUGACAUCAGUGGGGGAAGCCAACGCCUACUCUCUUGCACCUGCUCAAGGAGUUAUCCUUUAAAGACACUGAAAAGAACUAACCACUUGCAGUACUUUCAUUGCCUGGAUGGAUCACUGCUGUAAUAAAGUUGUUAUAUUCUACUUAGUGUAUCCUUCACCCCUGUGCGUUGGCAGUUCACCUCACCUUAACUCCGUAGCAAGCCUCAACAUGGACAGAGUCCAGGAAGAAGCCACAAAUCAGGCUGGUCAUCUUCUUGUGUUUUUUAAGGCUUCAGGAAAUUCCAGCUGAAGAUGCCAAAAUAAAAUAAAUUCAACUCCCCAUUUAAAACAGAAACUGAGCUUAGUGUUGUAGGCACUGGGUGCUUUGCCCUCAGCUCUGCAGGGUUUUUCUGCAGAGGCUCUUGGGGCUGGCUGUUUCCAUGCGUGGGGAAUGUAGGUCUCCUUGUGCUUAGGCAACUGGAGAGCCAAGCACCUCUUACCCAAUGCCCUUCCUACGUAGGUGAGCACAGCAGGAAUCCUUGCUCCCAUAAACCUCUGGUGACUUCACUUUGCACACUAGCCCACACAGGGCCUGCCGUGCCAGAGAGCGCUGUCACCAAUGCACUAAAUAACUGUAACUGCAUUUUAACAGGCCUGUGGCAGCAAGGAAACCUGUGUUACCCCAGCAGUACUCCCCAAUGGAAA
This is a long non-coding RNA of Zonotrichia leucophrys gambelii, 2897 nucleotides long. RefSeq lists it as uncharacterized. Lineage: Eukaryota; Metazoa; Chordata; Aves; Passeriformes; Passerellidae. The transcript has 5 exons. The record is from RefSeq and is a predicted model, not a curated record.